This 254-nucleotide long non-coding RNA is filed under the name Elaeis guineensis (African oil palm). RNAcentral's name for it is "long non-coding RNA (EGUI_LNC062037)". Lineage: Eukaryota; Viridiplantae; Streptophyta; Magnoliopsida; Arecales; Arecaceae. The record is from RNAcentral.
GGUCAGAGCUCUCGGAGAGAAGGCAGACAACGACAGAACCCUCAGAUGGAAUGAGACUCCUGAAGGCGGAAAGGCGGGUUUAAAUAGACUCUGGGAUCCGGCGCUAUAAUGAUCGCAGAUCUCCCCAGGCCAACCCACGCUCGCCACGUGUCCCACUCACCACCGCAGGCGGCUAAAAGCGGCUGACAGCUGACAGAGCCAUUACUGCACCGUACCUGGGCCAACGCUCUGGCGGGAAUUCUAAAAGGUCCCUU